ACUUUGAGCUGGUGCAGGAUGCCAAUGUGAAUGUGGUCCUGGAACGUGGGGAAUCGCAGUGCCCGGCCAGUCCUGCCACUGUGGCAUGGGUCACCUCUUCAAUUUCUCGCUGUUUUCUACUUUUCAUGGAAAGUCUGGUUCUGGUUAUUCUGACCAAGGGAUGGAUUUUGAGGAAGAAUUUCCACCGCUCAGAUUUGCUUUAAAAGAACCCAAGUGUUGAAAUGUUUUCUGAGAGGGAAUGCCUGUAUCAUUGCAUUGGCUGUGUGGCCCUUAAAGCUGUAUAGACUGGGUGAGGUUUUGUGGUUCUGCUGAGGGCUAUUCUGAGCAGGGGUUGGAAAGGUAUCGGCAGCAGAAUUGCAGAAGGUGGAAGCACAUGCAUGUUCAGAUUUGAAUACUGAUGGUGUCCCCGGAUACAAACCUAUGAGGCUUCCUUCAAUUAAACACUUUUAAAGUUGUUGCAUUGAUAAUGCAGAACUUGAAAUGGAAGAUGAAUAAAUGUAACAGGCCAAAUUAGGACUAAUUGUAUAUUCAAAGCUUGAGGUUAGUGAAGAAGUCGAUGUUGUGAAUUGGAGAAAACCCUUUAAAUGGUUAUUCUUAUAUCAUACUUGCUUUAUUUUUCUCAAUUUCUCUUAUCUCUUACACUGUUUGAUUGUUGGGGAGCAGGAGGGAACUGUCCAGAAGGUGUCAUGGCAUCUUCUAACUCUUUCCCCUCCUUCUGAGACUUGAUUCGUUCAGUUAGGGGAAACUUGAGUUCCUGUGCUAACAGUGAUUUAAUCUCAUUCCCAGCCUAGCUCACUAUCACAGUCAAAUGGGAUUGGCAGUGAUCAGAGUGGCCAGCCCUCGGCAUUUUUGCCACAUGUUAACGAUUUCCUGGUCUUAGUGGAUUUAUUGAGUAGAGACUGUCGAGGUAAAACAGGAAGGUAUUUCUUCUUCCUCCCAGCAGCCCACACUCUCCACUGCCACCUUUUGGGCGAUCCUACUGCCUCUCCCUAUUCAAAGGCAACAUGCACAGAGGUCUGUGGACACAGGCUGUCUGCCCAUUCUCUUGGCUGGAGAGCAAUGUGGCGUGUUGCUGAGUGUUAACUGUGUUUUUCUCAAAACCAGGGUUCAGAAACACAAUUUUUCAAGGUAAAUAUUAGUGAGUGGAGUGAAGCUGAUGCAGUUACUGUAGAACCUUGUGUACUGAUAAAUGGGUAACUCAGUCCCUUUUCUCUGACCCUGUGAUACCAGGUCGACUGCUGUUCACUGCAACACCAUCCAACUUCCUAGGACCUCAAUCCCUUAUUUAAAAGGCAAUGGGUCCUAUCAACCAGUGAACUACAACAGAGACCCUCUGUUCCUGGCUGAGUGAAGUGGUACAACUGCUGGAUAUCUGAAACACAAACAGGAAAAAAAACUGGAAUUACUCAGCACGUCACCAACAGUUGUGGAGAGAGGAACUAAGGUUGUAGGCUGAGUGUGGAGCGAAUGCUGUCCUGGUUUAAAGAUGAGGGAGCAGCCAGCCCUUACUGCUGUGUGUUACCCCACUGCACUCUAACGCUGGGAACAACAUCACUGACGUGCUCUCAGGAGGUACUUUCCUGUGUAGAUCAACUGAUACAAACUGUAUCACAACGCAGAUCACUUUGGGCAACUUUAGAAGGUUGGAAAUUCUCCAGAGAAAGUGGUUGAGUUUCCUAAAGAUAUCAGCAGCUUGCAACGAUCCAUCAAGGAAGCUUUCCUUUGAUAUGAUUCAAGAUGCAGCCAGACCCCACUGCCUGGAAGAGUAGCAGUCUAUUACACAACAUUCACCUCAUAAUGGGCUUUCUGUAUGACGGUUCUCUCAGCAGAGUUAUUCACGUUCCAAUGGCCAAUUGUGACCAACACAAAACCUGUCAUGACUGCACCUUUGCCCGAGAUCCCCAUUGUAGUU
Non-coding RNA from Chiloscyllium plagiosum (whitespotted bambooshark), 1912 nucleotides. NCBI's taxonomy places the organism in Eukaryota, Metazoa, Chordata, Chondrichthyes, Orectolobiformes, Hemiscylliidae. The record is from RefSeq and is a predicted model, not a curated record.